UACGGGAGGCAGCAGGGGGAAUAUUGCACAAUGGGCGAAAGCCUGAUGCAGCUAUGCCGCGUGUAUGAAGAAGGCCUUAGGGUUGUAAAGUACUUUCAUCGGGGAGGAAAAAACAAAACUAAUAAUUUUAUUUCUUGACGUUACCCGAAAAAGAAGCACCGGCUAACUCCGUGCCAGCAGCCGCGGUAAUACGGAGGGUGCUAGCGUUAAUCAGAAUUACUGGGCGUAAAGAGCACGUAGGUGGUUUUUUUAAGUCAGAUGUGAAAUCCCUGGGCUUAACCUAGGAACUGCAUUUUGAAACUGAAAUACUAGAGUAUCGUAGAGGGAGGUAGAAUUCUAGGUGUAGCGGUGAAAUGCGUAGAUAUCUGGAGGAAUACCUGUGGCGAAAGCGGCCUCCUAAACGAAUACUGACACUGAGGGUGCGAAAAGCGUGGGGAGCAAACAGGGAUUAGAUACC
Molecule: ribosomal RNA, 457 nt
Filed under: uncultured bacterium
Lineage: Bacteria
Description: bacterial SSU rRNA
Rfam family: Bacterial small subunit ribosomal RNA
Source: RNAcentral